RNAcentral lists this ribosomal RNA (230 nucleotides) under uncultured bacterium. Its description in RNAcentral is "partial 16S ribosomal RNA". It matches the Rfam family "Bacterial small subunit ribosomal RNA", at positions 109 to 334 of the family's 1533-position model. The record is from RNAcentral.
AGUAACACGUGGGUAACCUGCCCAUCAGAAGGGGAUAACACUUGGAAACAGGUGCUAAUACCGUAUAAUAAUCGAAACCGCAUGGUUUCGGUUUGAAAGGCGCUUUUGCGUCACUGAUGGAUGGACCCGCGGUGCAUUAGCUAGUUGGUGAGGUAACGGCUCACCAAGGCCACGAUGCAUAGCCGACCUGAGAGGGUGAUCGGCCACACUGGGACUGAGACACGGCCCAG